RNAcentral lists this long non-coding RNA (290 nucleotides) under Mytilus galloprovincialis (Mediterranean mussel). Lineage: Eukaryota; Metazoa; Mollusca; Bivalvia; Mytilida; Mytilidae. The record is from RNAcentral.
UUGUUAUUUAUGUAUUAUUGUCAUUUUAUUUAUUUUCUUUUGUUACAUCUUUUGACAUCAGACUCGGACUUCUCUUGAACUGAAUUUUAAUGUGCGUAUUGUUAUUCUUUUACUUUUCUACAUUGGCUAGAGGUAUAGGGGGAGGGUUGAGAUCUCAUAAACAUGUUUAACCCCGCCGCAAUUUUGCGCCUGUCCCAAGUCAGGAGCCUCUGGCCUUUGUUAGUCUUGUAUGAUUUUAAAUUUUAGUUUCUUGUGUAUAAUUCGGAGUUUAGUAUGACGUCCAUUAUCAC